UUGAGUUUUCUUUUCUUUAUAGAUUCUGAGAAUUUAUGAUUGUUUAACAAUUUGUGGUUACAUUUCAGUAGAUCAUCUGCAUUCAUCCGAGAGAACAGAAAGCAAGGUGCAAGCCAUAAGACAUGACUUCGUAAUUGCCACUGAACUAAAUCUUUUAUAAACCCAACGUUCUCACAUGCAGCUUACGUUCAAUGAUCACAAAUGAAAAACGAACCUCUCAAUAACCAAAAACCGAAACCUUCUUCCAAAUGGGUGAUGCAGC
RNAcentral lists this long non-coding RNA (262 nucleotides) under Phoenix dactylifera (date palm). RNAcentral's name for it is "long non-coding RNA (PDAC_LNC022701)". Lineage: Eukaryota; Viridiplantae; Streptophyta; Magnoliopsida; Arecales; Arecaceae. The record is from RNAcentral.